This 418-nucleotide transfer RNA is filed under the name uncultured Pseudomonas sp. RNAcentral's name for it is "partial miscellaneous RNA". The stretch from base 49 to 121 matches the Rfam family "tRNA". Lineage: Bacteria; Pseudomonadati; Pseudomonadota; Gammaproteobacteria; Pseudomonadales; Pseudomonadaceae. The record is from RNAcentral.
AUAAGGGUGAGGUCGGCAGUUCAAAUCUGCCCAGACCUACCAAUAUGCGGGGCCAUAGCUCAGCUGGGAGAGCGCCUGCCUUGCACGCAGGAGGUCAGCGGUUCGAUCCCGCUUGGCUCCACCACUUGCUUUACCUUGAUCAAACUCAGAAAUGAGCAUUCGCGUCGAAUGUUGAUUUCUGACUUUUGUCAGAUCGUUCUUUAAAAAUUCGGAUAUGUGAUAGAUAUAGACUGAACACCAGUUUCACUGCUGGUGGAUCAGGCUAAGGUAAAAUUUGUGAGUUCUGCUCGAAAGAGCAACGUACGAAUUUUCGGCGAAUGUCGUCUCCACAGUAUAACCAGAUUGCUUGGGGUUAUAUGGUCAAGUGAAGAAGCGCAUACGGUGGAUGCCUUGGCAGUCAAAGGCGAUGAAAGACGAG